AUACGUAGGGUGCAAGCGUUAAUCGGAAUUACUGGGCGUAAAGCGUGCGCAGGCGGUUUUGUAAGACAGUGGUGAAAUCCCCGGGCUCAAACUGGGAACUGCCAUUGUGAAUGCAAGGCUGGAGUGCGGCAGAGGGGGACGGAAUUCCGCGUGUAGCAGUGAAAUGCGUAGAUAUGCGGAGGAACACCGAUGGCGAAGGCAAUCCCCUGGGCCUGCACUGACGCUCAUGCACGAAAGCGUGGGGAGCAAACAGGAUUAGAUACCCUGGUAGUCCACGCCCUAAACGAUGUCAACUGGUUGUUGGGUCUUCAUUGACUCAGUAACGAAGCUAACGCGUGAAGUUGACCGCCUGGGGAGUACGGCCGCAAGGUUGAAACUCAAAUGAAUUGGCGGGG
This 395-nucleotide ribosomal RNA is filed under the name uncultured bacterium. RNAcentral's name for it is "partial 16S ribosomal RNA". It matches the Rfam family "Bacterial small subunit ribosomal RNA", at positions 523 to 918 of the family's 1533-position model. The record is from RNAcentral.